GAGUUUGAUCAUGGCUCAGAUUGAACGCUGGCGGAAUGCUUUACACAUGCAAGUCGAACGGCAGCACGGACUUCGGUCUGGUGGCGAGUGGCGAACGGGUGAGUAAUAUAUCGGAACGUGCCCAGUCGUGGGGGAUAACGUAGUGAAAAUUACGCUAAUACCGCAUACGAUCUAUGGAUGAAAGCGGGGGACUCGCAAGAGCCUCGCGCGAUUGGAGCGGCCGAUAUCAGAUUAGGUAGUUGGUGAGGUAAAGGCUCACCAAGCCCGCGAUCUGUAGCUGGUCUGAGAGGACGACCAGCCACACUGGAACUGAGACACGGUCCAGACUCCUACGGGAGGCAGCAGUGGGGAAUUUUGGACAAUGGACGAAAGUCUGAUCCAGCCAUUCCGCGUGCAGGAUGAAGGCCCUCGGGUUGUAAACUGCUUUUGUACGGAACGAAAAGGUCUCUCCUAAUACGAGAGGCUCAUGACGGUACCGUAAGAAUAAGCACCGGCUAACUACGUGCCAGCAGCCGCGGUAAUACGUAGGGUGCAAGCGUUAAUCGGAAUUACUGGGCGUAAAGCGUGCGCAGGCGGUUAUAUAAGACAGAUGUGAAAUCCCCGGGCUCAACCUGGGAACUGCAUUUGUGACUGUAUAGCUAGAGUACGGUAGAGGGGGAUGGAAUUCCGCGUGUAGCAGUGAAAUGCGUAGAUAUGCGGAGGAACACCGAUGGCGAAGGCAAUCCCCUGGACCUGUACUGACGCUCAUGCACGAAAGCGUGGGGAGCAAACGGGAUUAGAUACCCUGGUAGUCCACGCCCUAAACGAUGUCAACUGGUUGUUGGGUCUUAACUGACUCAGUAACGAAGCUAACGCGUGAAGUUGACCGCCUGGGGAGUACGGCCCGCAGGGUGAAACUCNAAGGAUUGACGGGGACC
RNAcentral lists this ribosomal RNA (917 nucleotides) under uncultured bacterium. RNAcentral's name for it is "bacterial SSU rRNA". It matches the Rfam family "Bacterial small subunit ribosomal RNA", at positions 9 to 921 of the family's 1533-position model. The record is from RNAcentral.